Molecule: ribosomal RNA, 388 nt
Filed under: uncultured Pontibacter sp.
Lineage: Bacteria; Pseudomonadati; Bacteroidota; Cytophagia; Cytophagales; Hymenobacteraceae
Description: bacterial SSU rRNA
Rfam family: Bacterial small subunit ribosomal RNA
Source: RNAcentral
GGGAAGAGAACGCCCCUGCGGGGGUAACUGACGGUACCAGACGAAUAAGCACCGGCUAACUCCGUGCCAGCAGCCGCGGUAAGUACGGAGGGUGCAAGCGUUGUCCGGAUUUAUUGGGUUUAAAGGGUGCGUACGCGGCCCUGUAAGUCAGCGGUGAAAUCCCGGGGCUCAACCCCGGAACUGCCGUUGAUACUGCACGGAUUGAGUUCGGUCGAGGCGGGCGGAACUGGCGGUGUAGCGGUGAAAUGCUUAUAUACGGCCAAGAAUCCGAAUUGCGUAGGCAGCUCGCUGGCCCGAAACUGACGCUGAUGCACAAAAGCGUGGGGAGCGAACAGGAUUACAUACCGUGGUAGUCCACUCCGUAAAGUAUGAUGACUCAAUGUUGGCG